RNAcentral lists this ribosomal RNA (332 nucleotides) under uncultured bacterium. Its description in RNAcentral is "bacterial SSU rRNA". It matches the Rfam family "Bacterial small subunit ribosomal RNA", at positions 568 to 898 of the family's 1533-position model. The record is from RNAcentral.
CGUGUAGGCGGUUGGGCAAGUCAGAUGUGAAAGCCUUCCGUUCAACGGAAGAAGGGCAUUUGAAACUACCCGGCUGGAGUACGGGAGAGGAGAGUGGAAUUCCCGGUGUAGAGGUGAAAUUCGUAGAUAUCGGGAGGAACACCAGUGGCGAAGGCGGCUCUCUGGUCCGAUACUGACGCUGAGACGCGAAAGCGUGGGGAGCAAACAGGAUUAGAUACCCUGGUAGUCCACGCCGUAAACGAUGGGCACUAGGUGUAGGAGGUAUUGACCCCUUCUGUGCCGAAGCUAACGCAUUAAGUGCCCCGCCUGGGGAGUACGGCCGCAAGGCUAAA